RNAcentral lists this ribosomal RNA (498 nucleotides) under uncultured bacterium. RNAcentral describes it as "bacterial SSU rRNA". It matches the Rfam family "Bacterial small subunit ribosomal RNA", at positions 29 to 518 of the family's 1533-position model. The record is from RNAcentral.
AAUGAACGCUGGCGGCGUGUUUAAGACAUGCAAGUCGUACGGAGUAAGAUUGUAGUAAUACCGUCUUGCUCAGUGGCGCACGGGUGCGUAACACGUGAGUUACCUACCCUGCAGAGGGGGAUAGCCCAGGGAAACUUGGAUUAAUACCCCGUAUUAUCGAGAGAUGAAAGGUGGCCAGCAAUGGCUGUCGCUGCAGGAUGGGCUCGCGACCUAUCAGCUUGUUGGUGAGGUAACGGCUCACCAAGGCUACGACGGGUACCUGGUCUGAGAGGACGAUCAGGCACACUGGAACUGAGACACGGUCCAGACACCUACGGGUGGCAGCAGUCGAGAAUCAUUCACAAUGGGGGCAACCCUGAUGGUGCAACGCCGCGUGGAGGAUGAAGGUCUUCGGAUUGUAAACUCCUGUCAUUGAGGAGCAAGGCAUGGAUGUGAAUAGCAUACAUGAUUGAUAGUACUCAAAGAGGAAGGGACGGCUAACUUCGUGCCAGCAGCCGC